This 250-nucleotide ribosomal RNA is filed under the name uncultured bacterium. Its description in RNAcentral is "partial 16S ribosomal RNA". It matches the Rfam family "Bacterial small subunit ribosomal RNA", at positions 355 to 622 of the family's 1533-position model. The record is from RNAcentral.
GGAUGAAUAUUGGACAAUGGGCGAAAGCCUGAUCCAGCAAUGCCGCGUGAGUGAUGAAGGCCUUAGGGUCGUAAAGCUCUUUUACCCGGGAUGAUAAUGACAGUACCGGGAGAAUAAGCUCCGGCUAACUCCGUGCCAGCAGCCGCGGUAAUACGGAGGGAGCUAGCGUUGUUCGGAAUUACUGGGCGUAAAGCGCGCGUAGGCGGUUAUUCAAGUCAGAGGUGAAAGCCCGGGGCUCAACCCCGGAACG